RNAcentral lists this unclassified non-coding RNA (1039 nucleotides) under Hevea brasiliensis (rubber tree). The record is from RNAcentral. Lineage: Eukaryota; Viridiplantae; Streptophyta; Magnoliopsida; Malpighiales; Euphorbiaceae.
CAUGUUGUUCACCAAACAACAUAGAGGAAUGGGGAUUGACAACAUUCGCAUCCUGUCACAGAACCAGCUACAAUCUCACUAUAAUCCUCAUUAUUGAGCAAUUGCUCAGUCACUGCUCACUAGGAAGUGGACCUAGACCUUAUUCCUUUCUGCCUGGAAAUUGUCCUGAUAUGAGACUAAAAGAGAGAAAGCAAGGACAUCCCAAAUUUUUCUUUGGCAUCUUUAUCAAAUGGAUCAUCUCCCAAAUACAUGUGGAUGUAUGCCCUGCAGAGAAGUUCACUCUCAACUUUGCUAACCACCUCAUCCAUCACUUUAGUUUGGAGAACAAAUCCAGGAAGGCGAGAAAUCUCAAUUACAGAGCCACUUGUUAGCUUUAUUUCAUCUGGUGCUUGACCCAUGACCUUGUUUGCAAGCUCUUCAUUCUUCUUCCCACCAGUCAGUUUCUUUAUGGAUGCUCCUAGACCUUCAUCAAAGUUCUUUUUUACCAUGCUCAUGGUGAGUCCAGAAAACACAAUAACCAGCCUCACCAUCAUGGGCAAAUCACUGUCAAUUGCCACCUGAUACAUUUCCUUGCUUGGUUUUGCUGGGGCUUUUCCAAUGUUUGACUUGAGGAGAUCUUUCAGCUUCUCAUUGUCUGUAUAUAUCCCAAAGCUAUAAAUCUUGAUGCCCAUGCCUAGCAUGGACUUCUUCCUCAAACCAACACUUAGCAACUGCUUCCCAUCAUCCAACUUAACCGGAAAGGAAACCCCAGUCUUAGGUUCAACCUCAAUUCCUACCUCUUCUGUCUUCUCCUCUUCCUUUGGCGCCUCACGUUCGGCUUCUUUUCCAGCUGUUUUCAUCUCUUCUUGAACUUUUUCCACAGUUGGCUCUCCAAUAGCCUUCCCUGCAUUCUCACAGUUCACUCCGUUCGUAGCCUUCUGUUCAACGCCAUUCACCUUCUCCUCUACUGGUGUCUGAUCCUUGGCAGCAACAUUCUCAGAAAGGGUUGCCAUUCUUCAACAAUGCAAUGCUAUGGAGAAGAACAGAGGAAGAGUUUUAG